Molecule: long non-coding RNA, 768 nt
Organism: Glycine soja
Lineage: Eukaryota; Viridiplantae; Streptophyta; Magnoliopsida; Fabales; Fabaceae
Exons: 2
Source: RefSeq, a predicted model, not a curated record
UAAUAUUGAACUUGCAAGGCUCAAAUGCGUCAAAGUAAGUCUAUUAGAAAACUACCAAAUGCCAGGUACGUGUACUUGCUCAAUAAUAUAUUCACAAUUGGUCGAUUCAGAUAUAAUACUGUUUGAUAGCUGACCAACCGAAAGCUUUGCAUGGAUUUGAUACUUCGAAAGCACGAUUGUGUUGAUAGUAAGAUAUAACAAAGGUAUGAAAGAGGAUUGAAGAACUGAAGUGUCGCGCUCAAUGUGACAUCUUGGCUUAGCGCAUUAGGAACACUCAACCCAAGAAGUUCGCUUAGCAUAAGAAGACAACCUGGAGGCCAACGAUAGGGCGCAUCUGACGACUUAGCGCACAUUCACUUAUGUCAGCUGGAUUUUGCAUGUGCGCUCAGCACGGACGUGUAGACUUAGCACACAGUGGCGGUUCUGAUUGGUCAUCAAGUGAGAAGAUAUUUGCAAAAAGUGGUUUUUAUAUAUAAAAGCAACAUUCAUUCAUGGAGCAAGACUUCACUACAAAGCAAGGUAGCAGAAAGAAGAGACACAAUGCAGGAACUUCAUACCCAAUUAGUGCAAGGAAAAACCAUUUUCUGGAGCUCUAGCCAAUCCGUUUCACUCCAUUUUUCUUCCAUUUAUUUUACUGCACAUAUCUGUAAGCUUCUCAUGAUAAUAAGAGGCUAAAAUCCCACCAUUGUUGGGAGCUCUGCAAUCUAAACUCUCUUUGAUGUAAUGAUUCUAAACUAUUUAUUAAUAUGAUUUUGAUAUUAUUAUUCA